CUUUGUUCAUUUUCUGUUGUUAGGACACUAUAGACCAGAUAAUUUAUAAAGAAAAGAAGUUAUUUAACUCACAGUUCUGGAGGCUGGAAAGUCCAAGAUCAAGGCAUCAGCAUCUGGUGAGGACCUUCUAGAUGAGAAAACAACAUUGCGACAUGUCCUCUGAGCCCUAUUGAAAUAGACAGCUCUUAGUCAUGGUGUUUGAUCCCUGGUUUGAUGAAUGGUGUGCUUCAGAUGGAAGCAGCAACAGGGUUUCAGCUAUAAGUCUCAUUGUAUGGUUGGACAUAUCUCCUACCUGUGUCAAUUCCGGCUUUGUGGCUUUCGAACUUGGGUCCUGGAACUUCUAGAAAUUCUGUAAGCUUGUUAGCAUACUGUAUUCAUUUCUAUUGCUGUGUAAAACAUUGCCACAAACUUAGCAGCUUAAAACAACACACAGUUAUGAUCUCACACAUUCCAUGGAUCAAGAGUUCAGCACACUUUAGCUACUUCCUCUGAUCAGGGUCUCAUUGAAAUUAACAUGUCACCUACCUGUAUCCUCAUCAGGGACUUGGCUAGGGAAAGACCCACUUCCAAGCUCUCUCAGGGUGUUGGCAGAAUUAGUUUCCUUGUGGCCUUGUGACUAAGAUCCCCAUUUUCUUAACUAUCAACCAGGGACCCCUACCAGUUCCUAGAGACCACCUUUAGGUGUUUGCCACAUGGCCCUCUCUACAAUAUGACAGGUUGCUCCUUUACGGACCACAGAAGAGCAUCUGCUAUUUCUUCUUGUAUCUUUUAAGGUAUAGUGUGAUUAGGUCAGACCCACCUGGAAUAAUCUCACUUUCGAUUAAUCAAAGUAAAUUGAUUAGGGAUCUUAAUUACUACAAAAUUCCUAUUUCCAUAUCAUGUAACAUAACCAAAGGAUAUUCGGUCAUAUUCAAAGUUCUGCCCACACUCCAAGAGAGGGAUUAGACAACACAUAUAUACUAUGGGGGAAGAAUCUUGGGAGCCAUUUUAGAAUUCUGACUUCCACAUAUACUAUUUUAACUCCGUUUCUGCUUAAAUUUGGCAAAAUGGCUUCUGUUGUCUGCAAUUGAACCCUGAGCAAAAACAGAUGAUACAAGGAGCAAUAGACCUUUGAGGAAAUGAGACUCCAGGAC
RNAcentral lists this long non-coding RNA (1133 nucleotides) under Homo sapiens (human). Its description in RNAcentral is "HSALNT0224150". The record is from RNAcentral. Lineage: Eukaryota; Metazoa; Chordata; Mammalia; Primates; Hominidae.